AGAGAUUGCACUUGGAAGAGUUUACAACACUAUUUCUUGAAUCAUCUUUUGGAUUGCUUGAGUAAGGAGGGUCUCAUUAACACUUUCUUGUUCUUGAUCAGACUUUAUAGAAAUAAAAGCAAAUUGGCUCCAUUUAUUUUUCAAAAUUCUACAAUUUAGAAUGAUGUGUCUUGGCUUCUUGUAAUAGUUAUAUAAAUUUUUCUUCUUACAACUUGACUAAACAUGGCUAAGUUCAUUGCAAUGUCCGCACCACAUAUCUUCUCUACUUCAAUGCUUCUAUUUUGGCUAAAAUUUACCACUUGAAGUGAUAAAAGAUACAUCAACUGUAUUGGAUUUUGUGUCAAAUUGUGCCUAUGUAUUUAGUCGAGUUUCUUCACGAACUAAAUCUCCAAGAAUAGACUCCAAAGUGAGAUUUCUUAGAUU
This 423-nucleotide long non-coding RNA is filed under the name Carica papaya (papaya). Its description in RNAcentral is "long non-coding RNA (CPAP_LNC008214)". The record is from RNAcentral. Lineage: Eukaryota; Viridiplantae; Streptophyta; Magnoliopsida; Brassicales; Caricaceae.